RNAcentral lists this ribosomal RNA (706 nucleotides) under Bradyrhizobium sp. Its description in RNAcentral is "bacterial SSU rRNA". It matches the Rfam family "Bacterial small subunit ribosomal RNA", at positions 129 to 863 of the family's 1533-position model. Lineage: Bacteria; Pseudomonadati; Pseudomonadota; Alphaproteobacteria; Hyphomicrobiales; Nitrobacteraceae. The record is from RNAcentral.
CCUUUUGGUUCGGAACAACUGAGGGAAACUUCAGCUAAUACCGGAUAAGCCCUUACGGGGAAAGAUUUAUCGCCGAAAGAUCGGCCCGCGUCUGAUUAGCUAGUUGGUGAGGUAAUGGCUCACCAAGGCGACGAUCAGUAGCUGGUCUGAGAGGAUGAUCAGCCACAUUGGGACUGAGACACGGCCCAAACUCCUACGGGAGGCAGCAGUGGGGAAUAUUGGACAAUGGGCGCAAGCCUGAUCCAGCCAUGCCGCGUGAGUGAUGAAGGCCCUAGGGUUGUAAAGCUCUUUUGUGCGGGAAGAUAAUGACGGUACCGCAAGAAUAAGCCCCGGCUAACUUCGUGCCAGCAGCCGCGGUAAUACGAAGGGGGCUAGCGUUGCUCGGAAUCACUGGGCGUAAAGGGUGCGUAGGCGGGUCUUUAAGUCAGGGGUGAAAUCCUGGAGCUCAACUCCAGAACUGCCUUUGAUACUGAAGAUCUUGAGUUCGGGAGAGGUGAGUGGAACUGCGAGUGUAGAGGUGAAAUUCGUAGAUAUUCGCAAGAACACCAGUGGCGAAGGCGGCUCACUGGCCCGAUACUGACGCUGAGGCACGAAAGCGUGGGGAGCAAACAGGAUUAGAUACCCUGGUAGUCCACGCCGGUAAACGAUGAAUGCCAGCCCGUUUAGUGGGGUUUACUCACCUAGUGGGCGCAGCUUAACGCCUUUU